ACCAGGGACUACUGCACGGUGACUGUUUCAGUUCCCACAGAAGCACUAAAUUAGGCAACAUUGCGCGUGGUUGGUACUCGGAUGGGUGACCAUCUGGGCAAUCACGUGUGGCUGGCC
Molecule: ribosomal RNA, 117 nt
Filed under: Diaphorina citri (Asian citrus psyllid)
Lineage: Eukaryota; Metazoa; Arthropoda; Insecta; Hemiptera; Psyllidae
Source: RNAcentral